AGGACUAACGCUGGCGGCGUGCCUAACACAUGCAAGUCGAACGAGGGGUAGCAAUACCCCUAGUGGCAGACGGGUGAGUAACACGUAGUCAACCUACCUCUUAAUGGGGGAUAACUAGCCGAAAGGUUAGCUAAUACCGCAUACGAUCGUCGAGUGGCAUCACACGACGAUGAAAGGAGCAAUCCGUUGAGAGAGGGGACUGCGUCCCAUUAGUUAGUUGGUGGGGUAAUGGCCUACCAAGACUCCGAUGGGUAGCUGGCUUGAGAGAGCGACCAGCCACACUGGAACUGAGACACGGUCCAGACUCCUACGGGAGGCAGCAGUGAGGAAUUUUCCGCAAUGGGGGAAACCCUGACGGAGCGACGCCGCGUGUGGGAAGAAGGCCUUCGGUCGUAACCGACUGUCGAGGGGACGAUAUUGACGGUACCCUGGAGGAAGCCCGGCUAACUACGCGCCAGCAGCCGC
This 465-nucleotide ribosomal RNA is filed under the name uncultured bacterium. RNAcentral's name for it is "SSU rRNA". It matches the Rfam family "Bacterial small subunit ribosomal RNA", at positions 26 to 518 of the family's 1533-position model. The record is from RNAcentral.